Molecule: long non-coding RNA, 604 nt
Organism: Lycium ferocissimum
Lineage: Eukaryota; Viridiplantae; Streptophyta; Magnoliopsida; Solanales; Solanaceae
Exons: 2
Source: RefSeq, a predicted model, not a curated record
UGAUUCCUUUCUGUGACCAGACAGUUAACACGUGGAAAGAUCUCUAAAUUCACUUUUGUGCUCUGUUGGUUUUCCCUCAUUUUAUUUUCUUUUUUACAAAGAAAAUGCCUUACAUUGUUUACGGAAAUACAAUUGCAUAAGGAGGUAAAACUGAAUGUAAGUUAGCAUGUUCUUGGCUGAUAUCACUAUUAAAGUUUCCACUUUGACCUAUGCUUCGAAUUACUUAUGGGGUGAGGUUGCUGGGAGGCACUCAGAAUCCUUAUUUAAAAUAAACAGGGAAAUAUUUAGUUAUGAGAUAUCACAUAACAAUAGUUUAUUUAGUGCUUGAAUUGUUGGGCGAAGAAAACUUUGCCGGUUAAGGAGAAGUAGGCAAGGCUUUUUAUAAGAAAAGACUAUUAACUAAAUAGGUCUAAGGUACCUUUUACAUUACAGGUGAGUUACAAGAAGUACUAAUUAGAGUCUCUGUCUAGAUUAAUUUAAAAGAAUUAUUUACUGAGCCUUGAAACACUUAAUUGGAGAUUGAAUGAGUCAACAGCCUUGGUGGUGCCCAACAAUAAUAUUGGGACAUUAGCAUAGAGAUUUUUGAUACUACCCCCCCCCCCCC